RNAcentral lists this ribosomal RNA (494 nucleotides) under uncultured bacterium. RNAcentral's name for it is "bacterial SSU rRNA". It matches the Rfam family "Bacterial small subunit ribosomal RNA", at positions 903 to 1397 of the family's 1533-position model. The record is from RNAcentral.
AAAGGAAUUGACGGGGGCCCGCACAAGCGGAGGAGCAUGUGGUUUAAUUCGAUGAUACGCGAGGAACCUUACCUGGGCUAGAACGCUGGACGACCGUCCGGGAAACCGGAUCUCUCUUCGGAGCGGCCAGCGAGGUGCUGCAUGGUUGUCGUCAGCUCGUGCCGUGAGGUGUCGGGUUAAGUCCCAUAACGAGCGCAACCCCUACCAUUAGUUGCCAUCAGGUCAUGCUGGGAACUCUAGUGGAACUGCCUACGCAAGUAGUGAGGAAGGUGGGGAUGACGUCAAAUCAGCACGGCCCUUACGUCCAGGGCUACACACGUGCUACAAUGGCCGGUACAAAGGGCAGCUACCUGGUGACAGGAUGCUAAUCUCAAAAACCGGUCUCAGUUCGGAUCGAAGUCUGCAACUCGACUUCGUGAAGUUGGAUUCGCUAGUAAUCGUAUAUCAGCAAUGAUACGGUGAAUACGUUCCCGGGCCUUGUACACACCGCCCGU